This 346-nucleotide ribosomal RNA is filed under the name Clostridioides difficile. Its description in RNAcentral is "bacterial SSU rRNA". It matches the Rfam family "Bacterial small subunit ribosomal RNA", at positions 470 to 816 of the family's 1533-position model. Lineage: Bacteria; Bacillati; Bacillota; Clostridia; Peptostreptococcales; Peptostreptococcaceae. The record is from RNAcentral.
UGACGGUACUUGAGGAGGAAGCCCCGGCUAACUACGUGCCAGCAGCCGCGGUAAUACGUAGGGGGCUAGCGUUAUCCGGAUUUACUGGGCGUAAAGGGUGCGUAGGCGGUCUUUCAAGUCAGGAGUGAAAGGCUACGGCUCAACCGUAGUAAGCUCUUGAAACUGGGAGACUUGAGUGCAGGAGAGGAGAGUGGAAUUCCUAGUGUAGCGGUGAAAUGCGUAGAUAUUAGGAGGAACACCAGUUGCGAAGGCGGCUCUCUGGACUGUAACUGACGCUGAGGCACGAAAGCGUGGGGAGCAAACAGGAUUAGAUACCCUGGUAGUCCACGCUGUAAACGAUGAGUAC